Molecule: ribosomal RNA, 253 nt
Filed under: uncultured bacterium
Lineage: Bacteria
Description: partial 16S ribosomal RNA
Rfam family: Bacterial small subunit ribosomal RNA
Source: RNAcentral
UACGUAGGUGGCAAGCGUUAUCCGGAAUUAUUGGGCGUAAAGAGCGCGCAGGUGGUUAAUUAAGUCUGAUGUGAAAGCCCACGGCUUAACCGUGGAGGGUCACUGGAAACUGGUUGACUUGAGUGCAGAAGAGGGAAGUGGAAUUCCAUGUGUAGCGGUGAAAUGCGUAGAGAUAUGGAGGAACACCAGUGGCGAAGGCGGCUUCCUGGUCUGCAACUGACACUGAGGCGCGAAAGCGUGGGGAGCAAACAGG